RNAcentral lists this ribosomal RNA (409 nucleotides) under Verrucomicrobiota bacterium. RNAcentral's name for it is "Verrucomicrobia bacterium partial 16S ribosomal RNA". It matches the Rfam family "Bacterial small subunit ribosomal RNA", at positions 355 to 776 of the family's 1533-position model. The record is from RNAcentral. Lineage: Bacteria; Pseudomonadati; Verrucomicrobiota.
UGGGGAAUAUUGCACAAUGGAGGGAACUCUGAUGCAGCGACGCCGCGUGAGGGAUGACGGCCUUCGGGUUGUAAACCUCUUUCAGUAGGGACGAAGCGUAAGUGACGGUACCUGCAGAAGAAGCACCGGCUAACUACGUGCCAGCAGCCGCGGCAAUACGUAGGGUGCGAGCGUUGUCCGGAAUUACCGGGCGUAAAGAGCUCGUAGGCGGUUUGUCACGUCGUCUGUGAAAUCCUAGGGCUUAACCCUGGACGUGCAGGCGAUACGGGCUGACUUGAGUACUACAGGGGAGACUGGAAUUUCUGGUGUAGCGGUGGAAUGCACAGAUAUCAGGAAGAACACCGAUGGCGAAGGCAGGUCUCUGGGUAGUAACUGACGCUGAGGAGCGAAAGCAUGGGUAGCGAACAGG